CUCUGCGACUACGGGGUCCACCAAGACGAGGUUCCGCUCUCUAGGCCAUCUUGAUUUGCUAAGAUAUCACAAGUCACCAUGAAGUUGGCAUUUUGUCUUUUGGCUAUGAUGUUGUUCGUGGUCCUGCUGCCACAGGAUGGAGAAGGUGGAUGGCGAAUUCGAAUCCGACUUCGGAGAGUCUGGGAAAGAACAAAAAGGUUGGUGAAAAGGGUAGAAAGAGUCAUCAAGGUUUUCAACGAGGUCAAAGGGGUGAUCAAAGCAAACGCGGAUG
Lingula anatina is the source of this 271-nucleotide long non-coding RNA. NCBI's taxonomy places the organism in Eukaryota, Metazoa, Brachiopoda, Lingulata, Lingulida, Lingulidae. The record is from RefSeq and is a predicted model, not a curated record.